This 398-nucleotide ribosomal RNA is filed under the name uncultured bacterium. RNAcentral's name for it is "bacterial SSU rRNA". It matches the Rfam family "Bacterial small subunit ribosomal RNA", at positions 358 to 773 of the family's 1533-position model. The record is from RNAcentral.
GGAAUAUUGGACGAUGGGCGCAACCCUGAUCCAGCGACGCCGCGUGGGUGAUGAAGGCCUUCGGGUUGUAAAGCCCUUUCACCGGGGACGAUGAUGACGGUACCCGGAGAAGAAGCCCCGGCUAACUCCGUGCCAGCCGCCGCGGUAAGACGGAGGGUGCUAGCGUUGUUCGGAAUCACUGGGCGUAAAGGGCGCGUAGGCGGCGUCGCAAGUCGGCUGUGAAAGCCCGGGGCUAAACUCCGGAGGUGCAGCCGAGACUGCGGUGCUCGAGGCCGGAAGAGGAGGGUGGAAUACCCAGUGUAGAGGUGAAAUUCGUAGAUAUUGGGUGGAACACCGGUGGCGAAAGCGGCUCUCUGGUCCGGACCUGACGCUGAGGCGCGAAAGCGUGGGGAGCAAAC